Molecule: microRNA precursor, 100 nt
Filed under: Marmota monax (woodchuck)
Lineage: Eukaryota; Metazoa; Chordata; Mammalia; Rodentia; Sciuridae
Source: RNAcentral
AGUGGGAUAGCUGGAUCAUAUUGUGGUUCCAUUCCUAGUCUUUUAAGGAAUCUCCAUACUGCUUUCCAAAAUUGUACUAAUUUGCAGUUCCACCAACAAU